RNAcentral lists this ribosomal RNA (523 nucleotides) under uncultured bacterium. RNAcentral describes it as "bacterial SSU rRNA". It matches the Rfam family "Bacterial small subunit ribosomal RNA", at positions 9 to 522 of the family's 1533-position model. The record is from RNAcentral.
GAGUUUGAUCAUGGCUCAGGACGAACGCUGGCGGCGUGGAUUAGGCAUGCAAGUCGAACGGUAUGGUGCUUUCGGGCAUCAGAGAGUGGCGAACGGGUGAGUAACACGUAGGUUAUCUACCCUCAAGACGGGGACAACCCAGGGAAACUUGGGCUAAUACCGGAUGAAAGCAACCGUGAGGUUGUUUAAAAGAUGGCUUUAAGCUGUCGCUUGGGGAUGAGCCUGCGUCCUAUUAGUUAGUUGGUGAGGUAACGGCUCCCCAAGGCAAUGAUAGGUAGGCGGCCUUAACGGGUGGUCGCCCACACUGGGAUUGAGAAACGGCCCAGACUCCUACGGGAGGCAGCAGUCGAGAAUAGUCUACAAUGGCCGAAAGGCUGAUAGUGCGACGCCGCGUGAACGAGGAAUCCCUCCGAGGUGUAAAGUUCUUUUAUAUGUGAGCAGUGCCGGCUAUAUUAAUAGUAUAGUUGGAGAGAUAUUAGCAUAUGAAUAAGCAACGGCUAACUCCGUGCCAGCCGCCGCGGUA